AAAGACUCAGUCCUAACCUUACUAUUGGUUUUUGCUAGACAUAUACAUGCAAGUAUCCGCACUCCAGUGAGAAUGCCCCCAAAACUUUACUUCCCAAAAGCAAAAGGAGCAGGUAUCAGGCACACUAAAACGUCGCCCAAAACGCCUUGCUAUAAGCCACACCCCCACGGGUAUUCAGCAGUAAUUGACAUUAAGCAAUAAGUGUAAACUUGACUUAGCCAUAGCAAGACUAGGGUUGGUAAAUCUUGUGCCAGCCACCGCGGUCAUACAAGAAGCCCAAAUCAAUAGUCACCCGGCGUAAAGAGUGGCCAUAUGUUAUCUUCACACUAAGAUUAAAACGGAACCAAGCUGUCAUAAGCCCAAGAUCCCUCUAAACCCAACCUAAAACUAUCUUAGUUCAAUGAUCAAUUUCAACCCACGAAAGCCAGGACACAAACUGGGAUUAGAUACCCCACUAUGCCUAGCCCUAAAUCUAGAUACCCAUAUACUUACUUACACAUCCGCCCGAGAACUACGAGCACAAACGCUUAAAACUCUAAGGACUUGGCGGUGCCCCAAACCCACCUAGAGGAGCCUGUUCUAUAAUCGAUAAUCCACGAUCUACCCAACCACCCCUUGCCAAUACAGCCUACAUACCGCCGUCGCCAGCCCACCUUCAAUGAAAGAACAACAGUGAGCCCAAUAGCCCCCACUAACAAGACAGGUCAAGGUAUAGCCCAUGGGGUGGAAGAAAUGGGCUACAUUUUCUAAGAUAGAACAAACGAAAAAGGACAUGAAACCAGUCCUUGGAAGGAGGAUUUAGCAGUAAAGUGGGAUCACCCUAAUAGCCCACCUUAAGACGGCCCUGAGGCACGUACAUACCGCCCGUCACCCUCUUCAAAAGCUACCAACACCAAUAAAUAAACCCACCCGCAAAGCCAAAGACGAGGCAAGUCGUAACAAGGUAAGUGUACCGGAAGGUGCACUUAGACUAC
This 974-nucleotide non-coding RNA is filed under the name Coturnix australis (brown quail). RNAcentral's name for it is "Synoicus australis (brown quail) partial 12S small subunit ribosomal RNA". It matches the Rfam family "Bacterial small subunit ribosomal RNA". Lineage: Eukaryota; Metazoa; Chordata; Aves; Galliformes; Phasianidae. The record is from RNAcentral.